This 3554-nucleotide long non-coding RNA is filed under the name Triticum aestivum (bread wheat). Its description in RNAcentral is "long non-coding RNA (TAES_LNC014469)". The record is from RNAcentral. Lineage: Eukaryota; Viridiplantae; Streptophyta; Magnoliopsida; Poales; Poaceae.
CGGUUGUUGAAGGAUGAGCUAGUGCGCCCAACUAGCGGCACCAGCCACGUCUCCUUUUAUUCGCCACUGUAGCAACGCGGAGAGAGCUCGUCCCCUCCUCUGCCCCCCUCCACUUCUCCCCUCCUCUGCCCCUCUGCCCCCCUCCACUUCUCUCCUCCUCUGCCCCCGCGUCCGUCCCGGCGGCAGCAACUUGCAGGCAAAGGGCGACGGCGGUCAAGGCGGGGGUUGGCGGCAGCUGGAAGGGCCGCAGCGGCCUGUGGGGCGUCGACCAAACCGGCAGUGACCCCGAUGGAGGGGAAGGGCCCGGCAGGCGCCACGGCAGCGCACGCGAGGGGCGGAGGCGAGCGACCCUCUGGAGCCGCGCACGUUGAUAGGUACGAGCCGUUCCCCUCCCCACCUUUGAUUCUCCCCUCCUCCCGUUCGCUCCUCACUCCUCCUCUUCAAUGAAGAUUCCAGAUCGGGCGCGGGUCGAGCAGGAGCGGCUGCUGCAGAGAGGGCAGCAGAGGAACACAUCAUGCUGAGCUCCUGCCCCUGUGGCUACCCGCAGAGGAGGAGAGGUUGAAUAUGGCUCCCAGUUCAUGGCAGAGAGGCCGACACAAGUGAGCUCUUUCUUGCUCGUUUUCUAAUCUCCCCCUGGUGAAUUGAGCUCAUCCUUCUAAUUGAUGGCUUCCUAAUAUUUUUUUCUUAUGCAGAUAUUGUUUGGGUGACGGUUGAUUCCUACACCGAGUCGUCUUUCUAUACAAAUAGCUCUCUUAUUUGGUGGUGCCAUGGUGUCCCUCUCCAGGUUAGCUGAAACCUUCUUCCCCCAUCAUUCCUCAUAUUUGCUUUCAGAAUUUACACACAGAGUUGUAGGUUGGUCAGAACUGUUGCAUGAGGCAGAACAAGAAUAAGAUCAUUUGUCAGCCUUUUCUUGCGCAGGUUCUGCAGCGGGCAAUGCUCCAGUUAAGAGUUGGGUGCAUAGCAUAUAUAUACGUAUGUUGCCACGUCUGAAUAAACGGAGAGGAGCAGCAGCGGAGAGGAGGUAUCUAUCCGACUGUCAUCCUUCCCUGACUUGGUUUUGUCAUUUCCGUCAGCGUCUGCUUCCUUCGUUGGUCGUCGCUUGUUUGUACACAGCUGUAGUUUAGAGAUCAUAAUAUAUUUUCCAUGAUUUCAAUUGAAUACGCCACCCAGUUUGCUAAUAUAAUUGUCCAGUUCUCUCUCAUAGUGAUUCUUACAAAAUUAUCAUGCAUACAGGUCCCAGUUUAGGUAGAAUGUAACCACUGGAUUAUUCUUUUGUAAAUAUGGUAGUCAUAUGUUUAGAUACUGAGGGAGUAAAUCUGUGAGAAAAUAUUCAAAGUUCAUCAGGUGUAUUUGCUUCUAAUCUGAUUAUUGUUCUAUUGCAUUUGCAAAGUCCAGUUCACAUACACAGUUUUCUCCUUAUUCUCACUAAAGCAGCUUUUUGGUUCAUUGUUACUUUGUUCCUGCUUGCUUAUUAGCUUAACCCCAAGUCUGCAUAAUCUAUGGCAGAUCUUGCUGAGUAACCAUAAUUGUUUGAAGAUUAGCAGAUUUCUCUGAAUGUGCAAGCAGCCAUUGCUACCAAAAGGUAAUUGUUCAUCCUUGCCGUAAUCCCCUCCCACGCACAUGUUCUCCAUAGUUCAAUGUCAGCAGUCAGACUCCGUUAGUAGUUUCUACUAUCACUUAAUAAAUAUAAAUAUAUAAUUGAACAAGGUUACAGUAGACCUGUUUGUUUUUUAGUAUGUUAGUAGUUUCUACAUUGAAGGGGAGCCUUGGCGCAGUGGUAAAGCUGCUGCCUUGUGACCAUGAGGUCACGGGUUCAAGUCCUGGAAACAGCCUCUUGCAGAAAUGUAGGGAAAGGCUGCGUACAAUAGACCCAAAGUGGUCGGACCCUUCCCCAGACCCUGCACAAGCGGGAGCUACAUGCACUGGGGCUGCCCCCCCUUUAGUAUUCAGUUCAAGAUUUCUUAUGAAGUUUUGGAUAGGUUACCUAUUGUAGAUUCUGAAUGUUCAUGUGGUUAGCUUUCUUAUUCGAUUUAUAUAUCCAAAUGACAAGAAAUUUCACUACUCACUCCUUUGGUUAAUCUCUGUAUGUGUUCAUUUUUAAAUGCCUAUGCUUCUAUGAUUGGUCAUUCAGUUAGCAUUAGAUGCCUCAACCAGUGUACCUUAAUUCAAUCCUUCGACUGGGCACCCGUCUGAUUUCUGUCGACCCAUAUCUUAUUGCUUAUCUAAGGUAUCUAAAAGAUUAAUCUGCCAAUGAAUGGUUGUUUACUCAAUAGAGUACUUAGUUGGGUCAUUUUUUUGCCAAAUUAUGAAAAAUGGAUUUAUAGAGUUAUAUAACAGAAAAGAAUAUGGUAUUUACCUUUCUUCUUGUCAUUUGGAUAUAUAAAUCGAAUAGGAAAGGGCCAUGGGCCAGUCCCUGUAUUUUGAGCUAAAUCUUGGAUUCGCCAUUCUUUUCAGAGAAUGAAAGUAGUUCAAGAUUUCUUAUGAAGUUUUGGAUAGGUUACCUAUUGUAGAUUCUGAAUGUUCAUGUGGUUAGCUUUCUUAUUCGAUUUAUAUAUCCAAAUGACAAGAAAUUUCACUACUCACUCCUUUGGUUAAUCUCUGUAUGUGUUCAUUUUUAAAUGCCUAUGCUUCUAUGAUUGGUCAUUCAGUUAGCAUUAGAUGCCUCAACCAGUGUACCUUAAUUCAAUCCUUCGACUGGGCACCCGUCUGAUUUCUGUUGACCCAUAUCUUAUUGCUUAUCUAAGGUAUCUAAAAGAUUAAUCUGCCAAUGAAUGGUUGUUUACUCAAUAGAGUACUUAGUUGGGUCAUUUUUUUGCCAAAUUAUGAAAAAUGGAUUUAUAGAGUUAUAUAACAGAAAAGAAUAUGGUAUUUACCUUUCUUCUUGUCAUUUGGAUAUAUAAAUCGAAUAGGAAAGGGCCAUGGGCCAGUCCCUGUAUUUUGAGCUAAAUCUUGGAUUCGCCAUUCUUUUCAGAGAAUGAAAGUAGUGCAAAGGGCCAAUGUUGCAUAGCCUUUACCCACUCUGCACUCUCGUAACAUCUCAAGGUGAGAGAUCUCUGCUGCUAGAUUCUUCUCCUUGGGUGGUUCUAACUCCAUCGGCUAGCAUUGUUGGAGUUAUUAGAGGUGUUUUAUAGUUGAUUGAUUCUUAAUGUUGAUGUGGCAGUAGCGACUACUCCCGGUACAUCUUCUGUUGAUCACGAGCAACACCAAGAGAUAUCUUUGCUAUUUGCAGUGGCUUGUUGGGUUUGAAGGAUGAAGCAAAUCCCAAGGAAGGAACAUGUUAACCUAUCUUGAUGCGUACUGCUGCUCUUGAUACGCAUCAAGAUUUGAUUUAGAUGAAGCUAAUAAUGAAAAGUGUCAUCAGUGUGCUGUUAUAUGUAUUAUCGACCAAUACAUGUGUAGCAUUACUCGGAUAACAUUUCAUUAAUAGAAAAUUGUUUAAUGUGGAUUUCCCUUUUUGGCCUAUAAACCUGCCAUGGAAUGGUCUCUAAAUAUUCUUACUUUCAUGUUUUCAAUGCUUGGUUCCCUCUCGCCCUUUGCGCCAUUGGCGCAACGAG